ACAACCACCCCCACAGUGGUUUUUAGUAUAUUCACACAGGUGUGAACUAUCGCCCUUAUGGAUAGAAAACCAUCUGUAAUCAGCCCCACAAAUUUCAUAAACCUCAGUAGUAGCCCCAGACCUUUUAUUUUGGUGGAGUAAUUGUAACUCUGAACCUUUUUAUCUUCUUCUCAUGUUGCCUCCUGGGACUUCCUCACUUCGCACAUAGUCAGGAUUCCAACCUGAGUGGCAGAUCUGGUUCCAGAGCCUGUUCUCUUUGCCCCUUUCAAUAAUCUGUGCAUAAUUUAAUGCCUUCUAUUUCAGGAUCAAAGAAAAAAUUAAAGACUUAAAUGUUAGACCUAAAACCAUAAAAACCCUAGAAGAAAACCUAGGCAAUAUCAUUCAGGACAUAGGGAUGGGCAAGGACUUCAUGUCUAAAACACCAAAAGCAAUGGCAACAAAAGCCAAAAUUGACAAAUGGGAUCUAAUUAUACUUAUAUAUACUUUGGUAAAAAUAAAA
RNAcentral lists this long non-coding RNA (499 nucleotides) under Homo sapiens (human). RNAcentral's name for it is "non-protein coding lnc-PFKFB3-9:2". The record is from RNAcentral. Lineage: Eukaryota; Metazoa; Chordata; Mammalia; Primates; Hominidae.